RNAcentral lists this ribosomal RNA (253 nucleotides) under uncultured bacterium. RNAcentral describes it as "partial 16S ribosomal RNA". It matches the Rfam family "Bacterial small subunit ribosomal RNA", at positions 524 to 776 of the family's 1533-position model. The record is from RNAcentral.
UACGUAGGGUGCAAGCGUUGUCCGGAAUUAUUGGGCGUAAAGAGCUCGUAGGCGGUUUGUCGCGUCUGCUGUGAAAACUCAAGGCUCAACCUUGAGCUUGCAUCGGGUACGGGCAGACUAGAGUGCGGUAGGGGUGACUGGAAUUCCUGGUGUAGCGGUGGAAUGCGCAGAUAUCAGGAGGAACACCGAUGGCGAAGGCAGGUCACUGGGCCGCAACUGACGCUGAGGAGCGAAAGCAUGGGGAGCGAACAGG